Lytechinus pictus (painted urchin) is the source of this 5481-nucleotide long non-coding RNA. RefSeq lists it as uncharacterized. The transcript is spliced from 2 exons. NCBI's taxonomy places the organism in Eukaryota, Metazoa, Echinodermata, Echinoidea, Temnopleuroida, Toxopneustidae. The record is from RefSeq and is a predicted model, not a curated record.
GUUUUUACCCAAUUUUUGCCAAAAUAUUCUAUUAACACGGCAGCACAAUUCCCGAGACAUGCAAAAAAUGUAUCUUGCACAUCUUCACCCCAACACCAAUAUGUGUGCCAAGUUUCAUGAGAUUUGGUUAGAAACUGAGGAAGUAGUUGGUGUGCAAGAUUUGCAAUGAACCGACCGCCCAACCCGUAAAGCUGAUUCUACAUGUAUAUACCCUCUUCAAACUUUGUUGGCUAGGGUAUGAUAACAAUUUUCAUCCUGUUUGAUGUCUCACAUUUCGUAAUGUACAGCAGUCAGAAUCCAAGAAUGAGACCAUUUACGCAAAACAUACCUAGGUUUGUUGAGAGCCAUUAACUGGCUCUCAAAUGCUGUCUCGAUGAUGCCCUCCAACUCGGGCUCUGUUGAAUGCCUGUUCAGUUGAACUAAACAACAGGCCCUCCCAUUGUUCAGCGCCUGUAACUUGCUUGGGCUCGUCUCUGCCCCGUAGUCAAGAAGGACAACGUCCUUGUACAAAACUCCUGCAAAAAAGGAGAAAAACAUUUUUCAAAAAGGAAAUUACCUUUCAUGCCUCAAUUCAAAUUGUAGAUUCUUCACUGAACUUCAGUUUAUAUGGACGAUAGAAUUCCGCCAUGACUGUGGGGAGAACUUCGUCAUUCACAACUUGUUCAAGUAUCUUGCGAGUCGAUCUGAUCAUUCGCUCCCAGACGCCUCCCAUGUGGCUAGCUGUCGGUGGAUUGAAUGAUCACUCGAUCCCUUUCUGAUGGAGGAUGUUUUCUACUUCUCGAGUGUUGUGACAUGGUGAUUACUGGGUAGAAUUAUGGGGUGCUUUGCUUCAAAGUCAACGGCGGCGUUGCUAAUACGUCCUCCGACUCGUAGAAUACCAUCCUUCACUACUGGAUUGAGUUUGUCGAUCGAUUUCCGUUGAUCUCUGUUGUGGAAUUCUUGUUCCUGGACAAGUCUGAUGUUUUCUAGCUCUGCACACUGCAGUUCAUCUAGCGUCAGGUUCUUCUUAGAAUCAUGUGCAACUGGUCCCUUGGUCUUCGUUCGGAGAAAGGUGGGUUGGCUCGUUACAAUAUUAUACAUCCAAUUCAUGAGAUCAAAAUAAUGAAGGUAUAGAUACUUGCGCCAAGUCUUUCAUUUCUCGCAGUGUGUGUGGGGUACAAGCCACUCUUAUGUUUCGUCCUCAUACGACAUCUUGUAUCGUUCGCUGUGAUUUGAUUUUAGACGUAGACAAGAUGUCACCUCAUUUCUCUUCUCAACAAGAGCAUUUGCUACAGCUCUGAUGGUCCCAGACACUGAAGCUAUGCUCACUCCAUGCAUUGAAUCAAUAGGCGUGAGUAGUCCACCAGUCCAAAAGAAGGAGAGGGCUAUGAAGACCUGCAGGGAGAAAUGCUCUCUUCACCAUCUCUUGUUAUUUUCUUACAUUGCUCAUGUCAUAUAUUGUUGAUUUGAUUUUUUCUUGUAGGCCACUAUCAUGAUUUUAAUUGUGUUUUAAUAGUGUAAUUGACUACAACUGAAUACUUUCAUCCGAGGGGUCCACGAUUCACAAGCAGAGCUUCACAGUGGACCUAUAAAAUACAAACUGAAUCAUAAAAAUUAGUUUCUCACUAAUGCUUUAUUCUUGCACAGUGCCUCCUUCGUUAAUCUCCCUUUUCUUUGAAUCCAGAUAAGGAUCAAUUUUCGCAAGACUCCGAGGCAUGUUUGGUGCAUAUAAUCCACAGGAAAUCUGUUUACCAUAUCAAUUGGUAGUUAGUAGAUGGGCUAUCCACUAUGUGAUUUUUUUUUAUGGUUUGUGAUGUCAUGUGUUAAUACCCCUGGAAACAUCCAAUGUGAUAGAUGAUAUGUGAUUGCACACUGUUAUUCAUUUGGGAGGCUUUAGUUCUAGCUCUAGUUGUAAAAAAAAUGAAAAAUACACUGACCAAAAAUUAUCUACAUGUAGAUCUAGGCCUAGAUCUAGCCCCAGUCCGCGAGCCGAGCCAGCCCGUGGCCUAACAAAGGCCACGGGCAGGGUCAAUUACUGAAUUAGGUACCAAUUAACAAUCAUCAUCAAGCAUUCAUACCAUAUACAACUUGGUUCAGAGUCGAGACAAAUGUUCAUGAAAACCGAAAACAAUAGUUACCAAAACUUUGUCAUCUUGCUGGUUGCUGCCACCGGCGAGGACCGUCAUGCCCUUGACUCAGGAGAAUUCGAUGCUCCGGUUCCGGCUGAAAGCCCUCCUCCCAUUCUUCUUGGGUCCACAACACACGACUUCUAUGGCUUGAAUUUUCUGUGCGCGGCGGCAUGUAAUGAACCCUUGGGUGGACUAGACCUAGUAUUAAUCAUAUAAUUAGUAAUAGUCAACAAGUGCAAGUUUGAUUACCUCCCGACUGUUGCCUGCAGCCCGAAGAAGGUGAGGCAUGCAAUCUAGCUCCUCGACCUCUCCCUGGCCUGGCUCUGCCGCUUGAACUUGAAGAUGAACCUCGUCUCAGUCCAAAUAACUGCGUGAACUCCCGCCACAGGCCGGCUUCUCCAGGGAGCUCCACUGGUUGCUGUAACAGCUGCGGUGAAGGUCUAGUAGUAACAUGAUUAACGUUGGGGCUGAUGCCGGAUGCCUGCCGGGGCCGCCCUCGCAGAGGCUGAUGGUGCCGGUUGCCAGUCGGCCAGGGCAUUACUGAGAUUCGUAAUGCCCUCCAUCAGCCUCUGAAAGACCUGAGAUCGAUCGUUCCCUUGCCCGGCCAUGUCGACAACUCACGCAGUACCGGUAUACAAUAAACACAGACUACUGAAGAAGUCGAGGUCUCCGGACAAGUCCCGUGGUACUGCUCUGGAAGUGGUUUUAAACUUUUGCUAUUUUUUGUAUUAUUAGUUUAGUUCAGCGGGCCGGGCGAAACCACGUGGGCAAAACUGGCCAGCUUGUUCGACAGCGCCCCGUACGUCCGAACAAAAAGAGGAACGUAUUUUUUUCAAUUGAGUGAAAUGAAUUUUGCAACAAGAGUGAAAUGUAAUACGAAGCGAGAGAGGAAUGGAUUUUCACGUGCAGUAAGGCACGCCAUGUGCCGUAUGUGUUAUCCAACGAAUGCGAAAUGAUUUGUUUUCUCUCACAAUUAAAAUGUAACGGGUGAAAUGAUUCUUUGUCGAAAAGAAAUAUAUUUUUUUGAAAAAAGUGAAACAUAUUUUUUUCAAACUGAAACAUUUCAUUUGAAAAGUGAAAAGAAGUAUUUUCUUUUUUUUUUGAAAAGUGAAAUAUAUAUUUUUAAAAAGUGAAACAUAUUUUUUUGGAAAAGUGAAAUACAUUUUUUUGAAAAGUGAAAUAUAUUAUUUGAAAAUUGAAAUUUUUUUUUUUUUUAAAGUGGAACAUAUUUUUUUUGAAAAGUGAAAUGUAUUUUUUUGAAAAGUGAAAUAUAUAUUUUUUGAAAAGUGAAACAUAAAUUUCUUUGAGUGAAAUGGUUAAGUGGGAGAGAAACAUAUUUUUUUCAAGUGAAAUAUAUAUUUAAUUGUUUCCCUAUGGGCAUGCCAUAGAGGGUAACCAUUCUUCCUCUUCCUCAUUUAUUCUCUUUCUCUCAAGCUUGUAAUAUACAUGUAGAAUGAUACUGUGACAAGCCAACUCUGCCCUUCAUUCUCUUUUAAGAGAACCUUUUUUUUUUUUAACUCAUGAUGAAAACUUAGUUUUAUAAGAAAAAAACAUUAGUGGUCCACUAACCCUUUUUUAUUACGACAGACAAGGGCAACCAUUCUUCCUCGUAUUUUUUCUCUCUCUCCCAAGCUUUUAGUAUUUAUUAAGUUCUUUGUUUUAAUAAGUAAUGCAUCUAAACAUAUAUUGCCAUUUCAUACCGAUUUUAUUUUUGUAUAUUUGUAAACCCCGACUAGUGAGGAGAGCUUCAUAACAGAAACUAGUUUUUCUUUUAGUCAUCCUCAGGCACUAGUCGGUGGUAAUUUAUUCCUCUUGUAUAUAUUCUUGUUGUCUUUUGUCUGGAAAUAAAAUAAAUAAAUGAAAUAAAUAGAAUGAUACGAGCCAACUCUGCCAUUCAGGUACAGCUCUUUUCCUCCUCCUUUUUAUAUACAUGUAGCUCCCUGUAUAUAUAUCCCCCUCUUUCUCAGCCACCUGCUUUCUUUCUUUCUUUCACCAUUUUCAUUUGAAGUAUUACGAUUAAUACAGCUGCUCCAGAAAUGGUAUGGUUAAAGUAAUACAGAAACCAUGGAGCUAUAAAUGCAUUACAAGGUAAGAAAUGACUUUAUCUUGGACAGACUUCAAUUGGUUUACCAGUAUUCCAAGGUGCGCCAAGUACCGGUUUCUUGCCGAACUUAUUUGAAUUGAACAGUGUAGGCCCUUUCAAAGGCAUCUUUCAUAAUUUAGCUUACUGGAUCGUCAUUGAUAGAUGAUUACUUACACUGUACCAUAGCAGUUAGAAGUUUGUCAUCUUAUGGAGUAUUUGAGAUGUUCUUGUAACAAGCAUUUAUCCAAAAGAUGAAUUGUACAGAAACUUUCCACUCAUCCUUUCACUUCCCCCAAUUAGGUAUUUAAACUUUUUAUCAAUGAUUGAGUAGACAAGAGUGAGUGGUAAUUAUUACUGGUCUUUUUAGACAAGCAUUACAGAACAGAUAUAGGAUGGGUAAUGGGUUAUGUAUUGUUGUCUUUGCAUAGAGACUUUAAUAGCAGAAUUUAUUCAAGAAAUGCAUUUGGAAAAGUAUAGGUGAAGCAUUUCUGUUUAAUAGUGUAUUUGAGACAUUCAAAAAAGUAAAUAAAUUGAGGUUGUAUAUUAAACAGUGAUACGAGAGAUAUAAAAUUGUUCAAUAAAUAAUCUGGAUCCCACUUUUUCUUGUUCUCAUGCAUAUGAAUUUUAAAAUGUGAUUUCUAUCUGAAUAGUGUAAUGUAAAGUUUAUGUAUACAUUGUGGGUGUUACUUUACAAGUCCAUUAACCUGUAACACAAAGCUUGGCAAUCAUUGUAGAACAGUUUUAUAUGAUUGAUUUCAUUGAAUACAGUAUGUAAUUAAUCGUGAAAAUCAAGCGUACUAUUAAUCGCUAACCUUUGUGUUAUGGGACCCAUGUCGGGGUGGAAAGCCAGUGGGAUACAAUUUAUUGUACUUUCAAUUUCCCAGGCAACAUGGCCUUGUAAAGUGUUAUUGUUUGAAUACCUGAAUGAAAUAGUAAUAAUAAUAAUCGGUCAGUGAAAGAUGUUACUUAGGAAAGAAUUAGUUUAUAUUUUUUCAAACAGACAAAGAAAGCAAAACAACGCAUAAUUAAUGUGUUUAAAGAAGCAAUGUACUGCAUAGAUUUUAUUAUGUAUAAAUUGGAAUAGGAAAGGCAAGGAGUAGAAAAACAGUGAAAAAGAAAAAAAUAUUCUAUUUCAGAUCUGUACAAAUGCAGGUAUGCAGCCACUCACUCAUAUGAUCAAAUAUUUGGUUUACAAGUAAUAUGCUAUAUAAUGUACAUUUGAAUAUGCUAUUUAUUGAAUACAGUGUACUGUGCACAAUGAAGAAAUAAAAUAAAGAUGAAUUUACAUUA